GAUGAAGAACGCAGCGAAAUGCGAUAAGUAAUGUGAAUUGCAGAAUUCAGUGAAUCAUCGAAUCUUUGAACGCACAUUGCGCCCGCCAGUAUUCUGGCGGGCAUGCCUGUUCGAGCGUCAUUUCCACCAUCAGGCCCCCGGGCCUGUGUUGGGGACCUGCGGCUGCCCGCAGGCCCCGAAAUUCAGUGGCGGUCGCGCCGUAGCAACCGAGCGUAGUAACUAAAACGUCUCGCUCUGGCUCGCUGGGCGCGCUCCGGCCGUAAAACACCCCCACUUUUCGCAAAGGUUGACCUCGGAUCAGGUAGGAAUACCCGCUGAACUUAAGCAUAUCAAUAAGCGGAGGA
RNAcentral lists this unclassified non-coding RNA (344 nucleotides) under soil metagenome. Its description in RNAcentral is "partial contains 5.8S ribosomal RNA, internal transcribed spacer 2, and large subunit ribosomal RNA". The stretch from base 1 to 120 matches the Rfam family "5.8S ribosomal RNA", at positions 35 to 154 of the family's 154-position model. The record is from RNAcentral.